RNAcentral lists this transfer RNA (75 nucleotides) under Aureococcus anophagefferens virus. RNAcentral describes it as "tRNA-Tyr". The record is from RNAcentral. Lineage: Varidnaviria; Bamfordvirae; Nucleocytoviricota; Megaviricetes; Imitervirales; Schizomimiviridae.
CCGUCUAUAGUUCAGUUAGAAGAACGUUCGACUGUAAUUAUCGAAAGGUCGCUGGUGCAAGUCCAGCUAGACGGA